This 700-nucleotide ribosomal RNA is filed under the name uncultured bacterium. RNAcentral describes it as "bacterial SSU rRNA". It matches the Rfam family "Bacterial small subunit ribosomal RNA", at positions 95 to 794 of the family's 1533-position model. The record is from RNAcentral.
CCGGCGCACGGGUGAGUAACACGUAUCCAACCUGCCGAUUAUUCCGGGAUAGCCUUUCGAAAGAAAGAUUAAUACUGGAUAGCAUAACGAGAAGGCAUCUUCUUGUUAUUAAAGAAUUUCGAUAAUCGAUGGGGAUGCGUUUCAUUAGUUUGUUGGCGGGGUAACGGCCCACCAAGACAUCGAUGGAUAGGGGUUCUGAGAGGAAGGUCCCCCACAUUGGAACUGAGACACGGUCCAAACUCCUACGGGAGGCAGCAGUGAGGAAUAUUGGUCAAUGGACGAGAGUCUGAACCAGCCAAGUAGCGUGAAGGAUGACUGCCCUAUGGGUUGUAAACUUCUUUUAUAUGGGAAUAAAGUGGGCCACGUGUGGCUUUUUGUAUGUACCAUACGAAUAAGGAUCGGCUAACUCCGUGCCAGCAGCCGCGGUAAUACGGAGGAUCCAAGCGUUAUCCGGAUUUAUUGGGUUUAAAGGGAGCGUAGGCGGAUUAUUAAGUCAGUUGUGAAAGUUUGCGGCUCAACCGUAAAAUUGCAGUUGAUACUGGUAGUCUUGAGUGCAGCAGAGGUAGGCGGAAUUCGUGGUGUAGCGGUGAAAUGCUUAGAUAUCACGAAGAACUCCGAUUGCGAAGGCAGCUUACUGGACUGUAACUGACGCUGAUGCUCGAAAGUGUGGGUAUCAAACAGGAUUAGAUACCCUGGUAGU